RNAcentral lists this ribosomal RNA (427 nucleotides) under uncultured bacterium. Its description in RNAcentral is "bacterial SSU rRNA". It matches the Rfam family "Bacterial small subunit ribosomal RNA", at positions 355 to 774 of the family's 1533-position model. The record is from RNAcentral.
UGGGGAAUUUUGGACAAUGGACGCAAGUCUGAUCCAGCCAUGCCGCGUGCGGGAAGAAGGCCUUCGGGUUGUAAACCGCUUUUGUCAGGGAAGAAACGAGUUUCUCUAAUACAGAGACUUAAUGACGGUACCUGAAGAAUAAGCACCGGCUAACUACGUGCCAGCAGCCGCGGUAAUACGUAGGGUGCAAGCGUUAAUCGGAAUUACUGGGCGUAAAGCGUGCGCAGGCGGUUAUGCAAGACAGAGGUGAAAUCCCCGGGCUCAACCUGGGAACUGCCUUUGUGACUGCAUAGCUAGAGUACGGUAGAGGGGGAUGGAAUUCCGCGUGUAGCAGUGAAAUGCGUAGAUAUGCGGAGGAACCCCAAUUGCGAAGGCAGCCUACUACGGGGUGAUUGACACUGAGGCACGAGAGCAUGGGGAGCAAACA